CUGCAAGCGAAGAGACUAGAACACCCAAGGCCGAUUUCCUUUUAUGGAGUUGUUUUUCUGCUAAUGCAGCACUUUCCUCACAACCCCCUCCUGUAAGUUUUAGAGAAUAUAUACCCAUCCUCACAGCAAAUCUUGGGAAUCUCCUGAUGUGAGCUGUGUUGAGAGGUUGUCUCUGUCUCAAUAAAAGUUCACUGAUUCCCCAUCUGCCGCAGGUGUCCGGUUGUCUUCAUUCUCCGCCAGCCUGGAUCCGCUCCAGGCCAACUGGAACGGAUGGGAGGACUUCGGCCGUGGUCUGAGUGAACGGAGUUUGGACAAAAGCUGUGUGCACACAAAAAACAAGUUUUGUCGCCCAGUAUUCCUCACAGGUCGCUGAAAGAAACCAGCAAGAGCUGAAAGAGGCGGCUACACCUGGAAUGGACUACGUCCUCCUGAAAGUCACAAAGAGAAAGUGGGCUGAGCCUCGCUGGACAGGCCCUUACCGCAUAACAGAGCGGACCUCCCACGCUGUCAGGCUCGAAGGGAAAGGUGACACCUGGUUUCAUUACACACAGUGCGCUGCUGCCACCGAACCAGGAAGAACCUUAAGAGAGGUGCAGAAGGACCUGUCAGAAGGAGCUGCAACAGCAUCACCAACCACUUGAGGGAGCCAAAACUCAACCUACAAGCCGGCUGGUUACAAAAGGGGGUGUUCUUCAUACUGAACUAAA
Astatotilapia calliptera (eastern happy) is the source of this 707-nucleotide long non-coding RNA. The record is from Ensembl. Lineage: Eukaryota; Metazoa; Chordata; Actinopteri; Cichliformes; Cichlidae.